Molecule: non-coding RNA, 73 nt
Organism: Paraphysoderma sedebokerense
Lineage: Eukaryota; Fungi; Blastocladiomycota; Physodermatomycetes; Physodermatales; Physodermataceae
Source: the annotation of a GenBank genome assembly
GGGCAUGUAGUGUAAUGGAUAACACGUUAGACUUCGGAUCUAAAGAUUGCAGGUUCGAGUCCUGUCAUGCUCG